GGAUCUUUUGUAGGAAGAAUCAAG
RNAcentral lists this small nuclear RNA (24 nucleotides) under Arabidopsis thaliana (thale cress). RNAcentral's name for it is "snRNA_12547". The record is from RNAcentral. Lineage: Eukaryota; Viridiplantae; Streptophyta; Magnoliopsida; Brassicales; Brassicaceae.